Molecule: long non-coding RNA, 1578 nt
Filed under: Cinara cedri
Lineage: Eukaryota; Metazoa; Arthropoda; Insecta; Hemiptera; Aphididae
Source: RNAcentral
GAAUAAAAUUGCUUCUAAAAUUUUACUCUUAUCGUUCAAACAAAAAAUCAUAAUUUCUUCCUUUAACUUUAUCAUUCAUGAACUAGGCAUUUUCCUUGUUUUUUAUUUUUAUCAAAGUUUUAAAUAUUUAGUAUACUUGCAUGCCUGACAUCUAUGGUAAUACACCAUUUACCAUAUUUUCAAUAAUUACUUUACAAAAUGUCGAAAUGACAAAUGCUUAUUUUUUGUUAUAAGAGUUGGUUCAUAUUUGUAUUUUAUGACAUCGUUUGGCUGUGUUAAAAGUGACUUUAAGUGAUAACUUCUGUUACAGACUAGCCUGUGUAUUAAAUAUUUAUUUUAAAUGAAUAAUUGUAAAACGAAACCUAAAACCCAGAAGAAAUGGCGUGUUAUACACUCAAGGAACUUAGUUUUGUAGUGUUAUUAACACUCUUUGUUUAAUAUUUAAGUGUUAUUUUAUAUUUAAAAAAAAAUUGUAAUAUGAUAUAUUAAAAUUAAAAACCUCAAAACAAAUAAUUUUAAGUUUAGAAUAUAAUUCAUUAUUUCAAAAGAAUAUAAUUUUCACUAUUUAUUCACUUUUUUAAACAAUUUCUUCACUGAAAUCACUUUUUACAGCCUUAUAAUUGAGUGGCAGCCCUGUAAUGGAUAGAUAAAAAAAAAAAAAAUUACAUAAUAUAUAGUGUAUGAGGGUAAUUGUUCUGUAUUUUUUUUGGGUAAUAAAAGUUUACUAAGUAUUCUGGUCGCAAUUAAUUUUGUAUUUUUAAAUUUAAUCUCGCAAAAGUCUUGUUCCGUUUGUAAUAACGUUUUAUUUUUUUUCUAACUAGUUUUGACUAAAUAGUCAAAAUGUUUAGUUUGUGAAAAUCAGAAACUUUGAACCUAUCUUAAAUAGAUAGGUUCCAAAAAUCUGAACUUAAGUCGAUCAUCAUCGAAUUUCGUUAAAUUUUGUAUUUCCAUUGUCAAAUGUCAAAGUUAAAAACCAACACAAUUGUCUAUGACUGGUUAAACUAAACUUUGAAUUGUUUACAGUUUAUAAUAUGACCAAGACCAAUAUUUUGAUCAUCAAUAGAGAAUUGACAUACCAUAAUCAAUGAUAGUCUAUAAUAAUGGUCAAAUAUAAAAAAAUCCCAUGUACUAAAAUGGCCAGGGGAAAUUAUGGUUAAAUAUAAAAAUGACCAGAUAAAAAAUUUGAAUUCAAAUAUUUGUCUAAAAUAUCGGUUCUAUUGGACCGUAUUUUCAUCUGGUCAUAUUUGUAUUUCAAUAAUAUGUACUUCUUUCUAUAUUUUGUAAAUUUUUGUAGAGUGCUUGGAUAGAGAAAGUGAUAAGAGAUUAGGCUGUUAUUUGUUGACUAAACGGACAUUUCAGUGUAUACUAGUUACUAAGGUAUUACAUGUUCAUUUUAUAUUUUAGUUUUAAAUUGUUUGUGUUUCUUCUCAAAUAUUAAUUUUUGAAACUUUAUGAUAUAGUCUUCAUUUAUAACAUGUUUAAGGUAUUCGUUGUUAUAUUCUAGAAAGUAUAGAAUAUUUAUUUUAAUAAGAACAGAGUUUCAAAUUAUCAAACAAUAUAAUUUCUUGUUAAAUUGUA